UGAAAGUACCCUUAGGGAUGUAAACUACCUUUCGAUCGGGAAGAUAAUGACGGUACCGGAAGAAGAAGCCCGGCUAACUUCGUGC
RNAcentral lists this ribosomal RNA (85 nucleotides) under uncultured bacterium. RNAcentral's name for it is "partial 16S ribosomal RNA". The record is from RNAcentral.